Cygnus atratus (black swan) is the source of this 859-nucleotide long non-coding RNA. RefSeq lists it as uncharacterized. The record is from RefSeq and is a predicted model, not a curated record. NCBI's taxonomy places the organism in Eukaryota, Metazoa, Chordata, Aves, Anseriformes, Anatidae. The transcript is spliced from 3 exons.
GGCCCUUCGCAGCAGGGUGGCAGACUUUACAGCCCUGUGUAGAGACUGGGCUUCCCUUUCUGUGCCUGGAUGUGCCCUGCCAGCCUCAGGCAAGCUUCAGUGCUCAGGGGACAACACUGCUGCUCCUUGUCCAGCUGUCUUCUGCCUCUGCAUUCGCACCUAGUGCCAGGCUCCCACAGGCAGCACAAUCUGCUGAAAUACCUUGGUAGCAAGCUCUGGGCUAACCACUCUGCAAUAAAUUAAUGUGGUCCAAUGACCAUAAAGAGUAAUCCUAGCACGUAGCAUCUCUCUGCAUACCAGCGCUGCACCAUGGGUGCCCUCUCACCCCCUGGGGUCAGGACAGAUGGCGAGCUCCUUCCAGUUGCACUUGCAACAUCCUACUUUCUCUUGAUGCUUCAGGGAAUCUGCGACAUCUUCAGAAGUGCCCUUGAAAAGGUUCAAGAAAAAAAUUGUUGACCUGAGAUGGGGAAGCAUUGGAACAAGAGUGCACUUACUUCCAGGCUGAUCCAGCUGUUGACUGAGAAACCAAAGCUCUUGCAAUGCGUGGACUCUGACCUGCCUCGCUGCCCGGACCGCCAGCAGUUCUGAGAAAUGUUGUUGUGACAGAGUGACAGCUGUCUUGCAAAGCAGAUCUUAGCCUUGCCAGGUCCAGUCUGAGUUUAUGCACACAGCUUCCUGACCUCCUACGCUCCUUGUGAAAUUUAACUAGAGAUGAUAGUCUUCACUUCCUUUUAAACGGGGGUGAGAUCUCUGCGUGCUAUGAUGCAGCUGACGUUCUCCACACUAGCGAUGACUACACUUCAGGGCUGGGGUGAAGUGAGCCAUAUCCAUGUCACCUUUCUACUUCACAGAAAUAAUU